Molecule: long non-coding RNA, 585 nt
Organism: Zalophus californianus (California sea lion)
Lineage: Eukaryota; Metazoa; Chordata; Mammalia; Carnivora; Otariidae
Exons: 4
Source: RefSeq, a predicted model, not a curated record
AUUUAAACAGGGAGACUGCUGCCAGAGUCCACGUGCGGGAGAGCUGGUGGCUAGCCAGGGUAUUGUUAGCUGCUCUGGCAAGGGCUGUGGACACCAGCUUACUGAAUAGUUAGACCCCAGGCUGCCCCUUGUCAGCCCAGCACAAAGAGAAGCCAGAGUGGCUGGGGGAGGGGUGACAAGCAGGGGACAUCUCUUCCUCUCCUCCUCCUGGGAGCACCCAUCUGGUCGGUAUCACCUGCGGACUUGUGCUCUGAGAAGCCUGCUUUCAGCCUCAGGAGUGACAAGAUGUCAGACACCUCCCUGAAGAAAUUUGCAAUCCAGUAAGAAGGGUGAGAUGAAGAGGAUUAUAGGGCAAGUGUGAAAUAAAUGGAAUGAAAACAAGGGAUCCUUGAGCAAUGAACAAAUCCAUCCAGCUUGGGGAGAAGAGAAAGGUCAGGGGAGUCUUCCUGAAGUUGAUGGCAUUUGAGGCAAGGUCUCUCCAUGUGAUGACAGCCAGCGGCUCGAAACUUGCAGCCCCCACUGUAACUAUACCAUGUGAAAAGGGCUUCGUUUUCCUUCUAAUUCCAAUAAAACUCUCAAGUUGAC